This 253-nucleotide ribosomal RNA is filed under the name uncultured bacterium. RNAcentral describes it as "partial 16S ribosomal RNA". It matches the Rfam family "Bacterial small subunit ribosomal RNA", at positions 524 to 776 of the family's 1533-position model. The record is from RNAcentral.
UACGAAGGGGGCUAGCGUUGCUCGGAAUUACUGGGCGUAAAGCGCACGUAGGCGGAUCUUUAAGUCGGGGGUGAAAUCCUGGAGCUCAACUCCAGAACUGCCUUUGAUACUGAGGACCUUGAGUUCGGGAGAGGUGAGUGGAACUGCGAGUGUAGAGGUGAAAUUCGUAGAUAUUCGCAAGAACACCAGUGGCGAAGGCGGCUCACUGGCCCGAUACUGACGCUGAGGUGCGAAAGCGUGGGGAGCAAACAGG